Molecule: ribosomal RNA, 430 nt
Filed under: Pseudomonadota bacterium
Lineage: Bacteria; Pseudomonadati; Pseudomonadota
Description: Proteobacteria bacterium partial 16S ribosomal RNA
Rfam family: Bacterial small subunit ribosomal RNA
Source: RNAcentral
UGGGGAAUAUUGGACAAUGGGCGCAAGCCUGAUCCAGCCAUGCCGCGUGUGUGAAGAAGGCCUUAUGGUUGUAAAGCACUUUAAGCGAGGAGGAGGCUACUUUAGUUAAUACCUAGAGACAGUGGACGUUACUCGCAGAAUAAGCACCGGCUAACUCUGCGCCAGCAGCCGCGGUAAUACAGAGGGUGCAAGCGUUAAUCGGAUUUACUGGGCGUAAAGCGCGCGUAGGCGGCUAAUUAAGUCAAAUGUGAAAUCCCCGAGCUUAACUUGGGAAUUGCAUUCGAUACUGGUUAGCUAGAGUGUGGGAGAGGAUGGUAGAAUUCCAGGUGUAGCGGUGAAAUGCGUAGAGAUCUGGAGGAAUACCGAUGGCGAAGGCAGCCAUCUGGCCUAACACUGACGCUGAGGUGCGAAAGCAUGGGGAGCAAACAGG